CCUACGGGAGGCAGCAGUGGGGAAUUUUGGACAAUGGGCGCAAGCCUGAUCCAGCCAUGCCGCGUGCGGGAAGAAGGCCUUCGGGUUGUAAACCGCUUUUGUCAGGGAAGAAAUCCCUUGGGCUAAUACCCCGGGGGGAUGACGGUACCUGAAGAAUAAGCACCGGCUAACUACGUGCCAGCAGCCGCGGUAAUACGUAGGGUGCGAGCGUUAAUCGGAAUUACUGGGCGUAAAGCGUGCGCAGGCGGUUUUGUAAGACAGAGGUGAAAUCCCCGGGCUCAACCUGGGAACUGCCUUUGUGACUGCAAGGCUUGAGUGCGGCAGAGGGGGAUGGAAUUCCGCGUGUAGCAGUGAAAUGCGUAGAUAUGCGGAGGAACACCGAUGGCGAAGGCAAUCCCCUGGGCCUGCACUGACGCUCAUGCACGAAAGCGUGGGGAGCA
This 440-nucleotide ribosomal RNA is filed under the name uncultured bacterium. RNAcentral describes it as "bacterial SSU rRNA". It matches the Rfam family "Bacterial small subunit ribosomal RNA", at positions 338 to 770 of the family's 1533-position model. The record is from RNAcentral.